RNAcentral lists this unclassified non-coding RNA (207 nucleotides) under Hevea brasiliensis (rubber tree). Lineage: Eukaryota; Viridiplantae; Streptophyta; Magnoliopsida; Malpighiales; Euphorbiaceae. The record is from RNAcentral.
GUUGCAAAAUCAUCCGCAAUGCCUGUAGCAAAGGAACAGCAGCAAAUAUGAUAUCAGGAAAGAAAUCCCUCCUCUAUGGAAAUCUUAAUCUAACAUUUGAGAUUCUACUGCCUAUUUCUAAGACAUUCUGGAUAUUCACCAUCAACUGUACACAAACAACAGAGGUGAUGAAACUCCAAAGCCAGAGAUAUGAUGCCUUAAAAUAAA